AAAUAGUCAAAAAAUAACAUAAGGACCUAUGAGCUACAGUUCCACAGCUAAAAAUGACUCAGACAUUAACAGCUAUAGUCACCAUACAGCCGUCAACAAUGAACGCCCAUACGGCAUAGUCAGCUAUAACAGGCCUCGAUAAGUACCGAUUAUCAGGUUAUCUCCUGCAUGUUGAUAUCGUAAAAUAUCAGCUGCAAGAUAUCAUAUGAAGCUUUUUGACGAGUGAGCAUAGCGAACGAGAUCAAAAAGCAUUCAUAUGAUGUCAAGCAGCUGAUAUUUUCCAAUAUCAAUAUGCAGAUAAUCUGAUAAUCAAUUUAUCAGGCUAUAUUUGCUUGUUUCAGAAGUGUCUUCUUUGUUUCACCAGCACACACAAGAUGACUUGAUAAGUUCGGGUCAAAGUUAUUAACGUCGGUUCAAACAUUAUGACGUCGCUGAUAUGUCCGGGUCAAAGUUAAUAAGGCCGGGUCAAUGUAUUUGACGUCACAAAGACAUGAUACGGAAUAAUAUUAAGAGCUGAACAGAUUGAUAUAGACAGUGGAACGACCGAUAAGACAUAUGUAAAACAAUUCAAACGAGAAAACUUAAGAUAUGUGCAUUGUUCAUCAUGUUCAUAUUGUAUAUGAAGAUUAAUAAGAUUAAAGUAAACAAUGUGGUAUGUUUCCAAAAUAAAAGCUAUACACCAAUGACCAACUGAUGUCGAUGCAAUUACUAGCCAUACAAAUGAUACAUACAUGUUGGUCACCAUACUUCCUUCAUUUAUAUUAUGACUAUUGAGUAAAUUUUUGCAAACAUGGCAAACCUGUACAUGUACAUGCUGUUUAUAUACACCACAUCUUCCUAUAUCUAUAUAUUACUACAGUUCAAUGACUCAAGUUUUAAAUGCAUAAGCUUAUUGGUCAUAACAGAAUUUAAACUAACUAUCAUAAUUGUAUGAACAUCAUGAUGAAUAUUUACAUUCUCUCAAAGAGUUUUAAUUUUACUUAGCUAAUACAGAAGAUGAUGGAUUCCCCAACAGAAAUCUUGAUGAUCGAACAAUUAAGGUGAAAAAAUUGAAGAAUUGCAUCAAUUGUUACAGAGAAUCGAUUUGCAAGCAGAAACAGGGGUCAAAGAUAAGGGAAUACAACAGCCAUCCAUGAUCCUUUACAUGUAAAGUAAGUAGCUGUUCAUGAUGCUUAUCUAGUCUGGGCAUGUAAAACAGCAGCUGGUUCUAUUUUGAAAAUCUACAAAAUAGAGCUAAGGUCCUUUAAGCCAAGAAACUGCUAGUGUCUGAAGAGGACAAUUUAAGACAGGACAUGAAAAUUGAUUUAAUGUCAAGUUGGAACAGUGAUUCUGUAAAUAAACUCGCCUGAUCACAAGACCUCGGAUUUGACUGAAUCUUACAUGGAUAGACCAAAGUCAUUUCCUAGACUGUAAAUACUAGAGGCAGCUGAAAGCACAAGGCACAAAGCUGAGGUCCAAGUAAAUCAGAGAGGCCUUGUCACAAGAAAUGUACAGAACUUGCAUGGUUUUUUUCCUUAAGGGUAUAUGACAAAAUAUUGAGAUAUAUGUCAAUGAAAAUUACUUUGAAUUUAAAAAAGGGCCAAUUCAAUGGUACACUUUUGGAAUUUGCAAGAACAAAAAUACCUUCAUGUUUACUUUUGAAUUGAAGGGGAACCUCUGAAAAUAAGUCCAAUGGAGGGGUUUGGUUUAUUGAAUUCAAUUAUUUUUUAAAGAAAAACAGAUGAAAUAUUGCUCUUUAAUUUCAACAUUUGCAUUUUGCUAUUAAAAUUAUUUACAAGUGCAGCACAUCCAUGACAUCAGAUUAUGUUAUUGUGUUUGGUUAAGCUACAUAUUUCUUUUUACUUAAACUUUCUGUUGACUUUAAAUGCUGAAUAAUAAUUUGAGUGUGGCUCAUUCGAGUGUCUAGUAUUUCCUGUCAAUUUUUUAGAUGAUUUUACCAUAUUAUUUAUAAUCGCUUGCUCAAAGGGAGAUAACUUAUUGUAUUUUCACAAUAAAAUGCUGAAUAAUAAUUUGAGUGUGGCUCAUUCCAGUGUCUAGUAUUUGCUGUCAAUUUUUUUGAUAAUUUUACCAUAUUAUUUAUAAUCGCUUUGUCAAAGGGAGAUAACUUUUUGUAUUUUCACAAUAAAAUGCUGAAUACUAAUUUGAGUGUGGCUCAUUCCAGUGUCUAGUAUUUGCUGUCAAUUUUUUUGAUGAUUUUACCAUAUUAUUUAUAAUCGCUUGCUCAAAGGGAGAUAACUUAUUGUAUUUUCACAAUAAAAUGCUGAAUAAUAAUUUGAGUGUGGCUCAUUCCAGUGUCUAGUAUUUGCUGUCAAUUUUUUUGAUGAUUUUACCAUAUUAUUUAUAAUCGCUUGCUCAAAGGGAGAUAACUUAUUGUAUUUUCACAAUAAAAUGCUGAAUAAUAAUUUGAGUGUGGCUCAUUCCAGUGUCUAGUAUUUGCUGUCAAUUUUUUUGAUAAUUUUACCAUAUUAUUUAUAAUCGCUUUGUCAAAGGGAGAUAACUUUUUGUAUUUUCACAAUAAAAUGCUGAAUACUAAUUUGAGUGUGGCUCAUUCCAGUGUCUAGUAUUUGCUGUCAAUUUUUUUGAUGAUUUUACCAUAUUAUUUAUAAUCGCUUGCUCAAAGGGAGAUAACUUAUUGUAUUUUCACAAUAAAAUGCUGAAUAAUAAUUUGAGUGUGGCUCAUUCCAGUGUCUAGUAUUUGCUGUCAAUUUUUUUGAUGAUUUUACCAUAUUAUUUAUAAUCACUUUGUCAAAGGGAGAUAACUUUUUGUAUUUUCACAUUAAAUCAUCUGCGAAGAGGAUUAUGUAAAAUGUGAAUUGUUGAAAACUAAUUUUAUGGUUCAAUAAAAUCAAAAUAAGUUACUGCUAUUCAUUAUAAAUAAAUUUCUAUCAAAAAUAAGGCUCAAAGAACUUUUUAUAUUACUAAUUAACAAUAACAAUGUACACACAUGUUGACGUGUUAAUACACACCGUCAGAGUGGGUGUGUCACCAUAAAAUGUAAACAUUGAAAAUAAAACUGAUACUUUUAACUAAUCAGGAGACAGUUAAUACACCAAAUAUAUUUUUAAACCUAUAAACUUAUUAUUUUCUUCAAAUUUUAAGGUGCCUAUGUUUGCUAUUUGUUAUAACCCUAUUGUUAUGAUUCUUAAACCAUCUAUACAAGUAAGCAUGUUGAUUUGUCACUUACCAUUAUUUUAUUGAUUAGUUUGAAUUUGAUGAGGUUCUUCGAUGUAGAACUGGACUUAUUUAAACAAAAAAUGUUUUGUUUAUUUGUUUGAUAGUAAAAUUGUAUGACAAACAUUUGACAUUUUAUUUAAUUUAUCAUCAAAACAACUAUUUUGUCAG
Mytilus trossulus (common blue mussel) is the source of this 3342-nucleotide long non-coding RNA. RefSeq lists it as uncharacterized. The transcript is spliced from 3 exons. NCBI's taxonomy places the organism in Eukaryota, Metazoa, Mollusca, Bivalvia, Mytilida, Mytilidae. The record is from RefSeq and is a predicted model, not a curated record.